Molecule: ribosomal RNA, 533 nt
Filed under: Mycoplasmopsis arginini
Lineage: Bacteria; Bacillati; Mycoplasmatota; Mycoplasmoidales; Metamycoplasmataceae
Description: bacterial SSU rRNA
Rfam family: Bacterial small subunit ribosomal RNA
Source: RNAcentral
AUACUGGUAAACUAGAGUUAGGUAGAGGUAAACGGAAUUCCAUGUGAAGCGGUGAAAUGCGUAGAUAUAUGGAAGAACACCACAGGCGAAGGCAUCUUACUGGGUCUAUACUGACGCUGAGGGACGAAAGCGUGGGGAGCAAACAGGAGUAUAUACCCUGGGAUUCCACGCCGUGAACGAUGAUCAUUAGUCGGUGGAGAGUUCACUGACGCAUCCAACGCAUUAAAUGAUCCGCCUGAAUAAUAUGCUCGCAAAAGUGAAACUUAAACGAAUUGACGGGGACCCGCACAAGCGGUGGAGCAUGUGGUUUAAUUUGAAUAUACGCGGAGAACCUUACCCACUCUUGACAUCCUUUGCAAUGCUAUAGAGAUAUAGCAGAGGUUAACGGAGUGACAGAUGGUGCAUGGUUGUCGUCAUCUCAUGUCGUGAUAUGUUUGGUCAAGUCCUGCAACCACCGCCACCCCUAUCUUCAUUUACUAACGAGUCAUGUCGAGGACUCUAGAGAUACUGCCUGGGUAACUGGGAGGAAGGUG